AACGCACCUUGCGCCCUCUGGUAUUCCGGAGGGCAUGCCUGUUUGAGUGUCAUUAAAUUCUCAACUUCAAAAGUUGUAAUGACUUAUUGAAGCUUGGAUGUGGAGGUUUUUGCUGGUAUUCAUUUAUCGGCUCCUCUUAAAUGUAUUAGUGGAAACCUGUUUCUUUGGGUCAACCCUUGGUGUGAUAAUUAUCUACGCUUUGGUGUUUGGCACCAAGUCUGGAUAGUGCAAGUCUAUUGCUCUGUCUGUGCUAUCAAGGAUUUUGCGGCCUUUCGGGGUGCUUUAUCUGGAUAGAAGGGAUUUCUGCUCUCUAACUGUCUAUUUUACAUGGACAACUUAUUUGACUAUUUGACCUCAAAUCAGGUAGGACUACCCGCUGAACUUAA
RNAcentral lists this unclassified non-coding RNA (386 nucleotides) under uncultured fungus. RNAcentral's name for it is "partial contains ITS1, 5.8S rRNA and ITS2". The stretch from base 1 to 52 matches the Rfam family "5.8S ribosomal RNA", at positions 103 to 154 of the family's 154-position model. The record is from RNAcentral. Lineage: Eukaryota; Fungi.